Small nucleolar RNA from Rhododendron vialii, 108 nucleotides. RefSeq annotates it as small nucleolar RNA snoR100. NCBI's taxonomy places the organism in Eukaryota, Viridiplantae, Streptophyta, Magnoliopsida, Ericales, Ericaceae. The transcript has a single exon. The record is from RefSeq and is a predicted model, not a curated record.
CAAUGAAGGAAGUAUGGUAAUGUACACAGAAAUUAAAUUGGGCCUCUAGGUCUGUCCUCUCUGUUGCUAUUUGGCUUUGAUAAGUGGACAUGGCCCAGCAGCAAAGCA